UGGGGAAUAUUGGACAAUGGGGGGAACCCUGAUCCAGCGAUGCCGCGUGUGUGAAGAAGGCCUGCGGGUUGUAAAGCACUUUUGUUAGGGAAGAAGCGAGGGGAGUGAAUAGCUUUCCGAGUUGACGGUACCUAAAGAAUCAGCACCGGCUAACUCUGUGCCAGCAGCCGCGGUAAUACAGAGGGUGCGAGCGUUAAUCGGAAUGACUGGGCGUAAAGGGCGAGUAGGCGGGUGUAUAAGUGAGGUGAUAAAGACAUGGGCUUAACCUAUGGGUGACACCUUAGACUGUAUAUCUGGAGACAAGGAGAGGGGAGUGGAAUUUCCGGAGGAGUGGUGAAAUACGUAGAUUUCGGAAGGAACACCGGAGGCGAAGGCGACUCUCUGGCCUUGUUCUGACGCUGAGGAGCGAAAGCGUGGGUAGCAAACAG
This 428-nucleotide ribosomal RNA is filed under the name uncultured bacterium. Its description in RNAcentral is "bacterial SSU rRNA". It matches the Rfam family "Bacterial small subunit ribosomal RNA", at positions 355 to 775 of the family's 1533-position model. The record is from RNAcentral.